Molecule: ribosomal RNA, 253 nt
Filed under: uncultured bacterium
Lineage: Bacteria
Description: partial 16S ribosomal RNA
Rfam family: Bacterial small subunit ribosomal RNA
Source: RNAcentral
UACAGAGGUCCCAAGCGUUGUUCGGAUUCAUUGGGCGUAAAGGGUGCGUAGGCGGCGCGGUAAGUCGGGUGUGAAAUCUCGGAGCUUAACUCCGAAACUGCAUUCGAUACUGCCGUGCUUGAGGACUGGAGAGGAGACUGGAAUUUACGGUGUAGCGGUGAAAUGCGUAGAUAUCAGGAGGAACACCGGUGGUGUAGACGGCUUUCUGGACCGUAACUGACGCUGAGACACGAAAGCGUGGGUAGCAAACAGG